AGUCUGCAUUUAGAUUUCAGGAAGAAGCUAGAGGAACUGGUAACUAACAGAGAGGGAGAAACAGAGACAAGAGGCAGGAAACAUAUUUAUAAGGCUGUAGGUCAACAGAGAAAAUGUCUGGCUCAAUUAGAAAGAAGCUAGAGGAACUGGUAACUAACAGAGAGGGAGAAACAGAG
This 176-nucleotide long non-coding RNA is filed under the name Cavia porcellus (domestic guinea pig). Its description in RNAcentral is "lncRNA (ENSCPOG00000039424.1)". Lineage: Eukaryota; Metazoa; Chordata; Mammalia; Rodentia; Caviidae. The record is from RNAcentral.